RNAcentral lists this unclassified non-coding RNA (387 nucleotides) under Hevea brasiliensis (rubber tree). The record is from RNAcentral. Lineage: Eukaryota; Viridiplantae; Streptophyta; Magnoliopsida; Malpighiales; Euphorbiaceae.
UAGCCAACAUCAGAAUCACGGAAAGAAUAUGCAACAAGAACACGUCGUAGUGUAGCAUGACCCUCCGGAGUGUCCAACCACGGGUGACCAGGAAAGGUUCGUGGCAGAUCAUGAUCAAUCUGCCUUGUAGCAGGUGUAACCUUCCCUUCAACAGCCUUGGUCAAAUCAUUGUAAUAGCUCUCAGGCACCGUAGACUUCUUCUUUGCAGCUCCAGAGAGCGAAAACCAAACCUUAGGCCUAAGCACAGGAGGUAUUCCCUUCCUUAUAAGCUUCUUCAAAGUGAUCGCAUUAGCUAAAGUAGACAAUUUAAGAGAAGAUUUCAACGCAAUCCCUUCAACAAUUGAAGUAACCUGAGGCUGCAAAUACCAAUUUGCACCUUUGCUAGCC